RNAcentral lists this non-coding RNA (201 nucleotides) under Bacteroides caecimuris. Lineage: Bacteria; Pseudomonadati; Bacteroidota; Bacteroidia; Bacteroidales; Bacteroidaceae. The record is from RNAcentral.
CUAUCUUUGCCGCGCAUUGGUUUGCGACUCCCAUGCGGGGGAAGCAAUUAAAAGGGAAUCAGGUGCAAGUCCUGAACAGUCCCGCUGCUGUAAGUUCCAUACCAAGUUACAAGCAAUUCACUCAUUGCCACUGGAAACCAAUCCGGGAAGGCGUUUGUAACAGGAACAAGUCAGAAGACCUGCCAUGCAAAUAAGUUUCAC